RNAcentral lists this ribosomal RNA (253 nucleotides) under uncultured bacterium. RNAcentral's name for it is "partial 16S ribosomal RNA". It matches the Rfam family "Bacterial small subunit ribosomal RNA", at positions 524 to 776 of the family's 1533-position model. The record is from RNAcentral.
UACGGAGGGAGCUAGCGUUGUUCGGAAUUACUGGGCGUAAAGCGCGCGUAGGCGGCUUUGUAAGUUAGAGGUGAAAGCCCGGAGCUCAACUCCGGAACUGCCUUUAAAACUGCAUCGCUUGAAUCCAGGAGAGGUGAGUGGAAUUCCGAGUGUAGAGGUGAAAUUCGUAGAUAUUCGGAAGAACACCAGUGGCGAAGGCGACUUACUGGACGAUUGUUGACGCUGAGGUGCGAAAGCGUGGGGAGCAAACAGG